GGGUAACGAGUAAAGCAGCGAACGGGUGAGUAACGCGUAAGUUAUCUACCUUUAAAUCUGGGAUAACUACUCGAAAGGGUGGCUAAUACUGGAUAUACUCUUUUUAGAGGAAAGAUGGAUUACUAUCGUUUAAAGAUGAGCUUGCGUCCCAUUAGCUAGUUGGUAAGAUAACAGCUUACCAAGGCAACGAUGGGUAGCCGGCCUGAGAGGGCGAUCGGCCACACUGGGACUGAGACACGGCCCAGACUCCUACGGGAGGCUGCAGUGGGGAAUCUUCCGCAAUGGGCGAAAGCCUGACGGAGCAAUGCCGCGUGAGUGAUGAAGGCCUUAGGGUCGUAAAGCUCUGUCUUGAGGGAAGAACAACUUAGUAGUGAACAACUGCUAGGUAUGACGGUACCUCAAAAGAAAGCCCCGGCUAAUUACGUGCCAGCAGCCGCGGUAACACGUAAGGGGCAAGCGUUGUCCGGAAUUACUGGGCGUAAAGGGUGCGCAGGCGGUCUAGCAAGUCAGAGGUGAAAGCCACUAGCUCAACUAGUGAAAGUCCUUUGAAACUGUUAGACUUGAGAGUAGAAGAGGGAGAUGGAAUUCCUAGUGUAGUGGUGAAAUACGUAGAUAUUAGGAAGAAUACCAAUGGUGAAAACAGUCUCCUGGUCUGACUCUGACGCUGAGGCACGAAAGCUAGGGUAUCAAACGGGAUUAGAUACCCCGGUAGUCCUAGCUGUAAACGCUGGAUACUAGGUGUUGGGGGUUCAACUCCCUCG
Molecule: ribosomal RNA, 761 nt
Filed under: Halanaerocella sp. Delta2
Lineage: Bacteria; Bacillati; Bacillota; Clostridia; Halanaerobiales; Halobacteroidaceae
Description: bacterial SSU rRNA
Rfam family: Bacterial small subunit ribosomal RNA
Source: RNAcentral